UGGGGAAUCUUAGACAAUGGGCGCAAGCCUGAUCUAGCGAUGCCGCGUGAGUGACGAAGGUCUUAGGAUCGUAAAGCUCUUUCGCCAGGGAUGAUAAUGACAGUACCUGGUAAAGAAACCCCGGCUAACUCCGUGCCAGCAGCCGCGGUAAUACGGAGGGGGUUAGCGUUGUUCGGAAUUACUGGGCGUAAAGCGCACGUAGGCGGACUAUUAAGUCAGAGGUGAAAUCCCGGGGCUCAACCCCGGAACUGCCUUUGAUACUGGUAGUCUUGAGUUCGAGAGAGGUGAGUGGAAUUCCGAGUGUAGAGGUGAAAUUCGUAGAUAUUCGGAGGAACACCAGUGGCGAAGGCGGCUCACUGGCUCGAUACUGACGCUGAGGUGCGAAAGUGUGGGGAGCAAACAGGAUUAGAUACCCCCGUAGUCC
This 424-nucleotide ribosomal RNA is filed under the name uncultured prokaryote. Its description in RNAcentral is "bacterial SSU rRNA". It matches the Rfam family "Bacterial small subunit ribosomal RNA", at positions 355 to 796 of the family's 1533-position model. The record is from RNAcentral.